UUUUCAUAGAAAAGCUGCCGCCAGUGUUUCCAUCGCCUCUAGCGCAAAGUCCGAUUCAGACCUCUUCUUCCUUCACUCAGGAUGAAUGUCAAAGGCUCAUUGCGCUUCUGAGUUCGCAACUUCAUCUCAAUACCAGCAACCAACCUGAAGUUCAUAAGCCCGAUGUUCCAUCUGCCUCUCAUUUCACAGGACCUUGCUUAGAGGAGAACGAUUGGGAUGGGUAGACGAGAUGGCAACCUAUAUUUUCUAGAUUUAGGCAAUCCCAUUUGUAAUCAGUUUUCUUCAUGCAAUUUUAUUUCCUCCAAAUUGCCCAAACAGAACAUUUGGCAUGUUAGGCUUGGACAUCCCUCUGAUGUAAAGUUGAAAUCAAUGAAUAAAGAAUUAAAUCUGCCUUCCUCGUC
Molecule: long non-coding RNA, 401 nt
Organism: Morus notabilis
Lineage: Eukaryota; Viridiplantae; Streptophyta; Magnoliopsida; Rosales; Moraceae
Exons: 2
Source: RefSeq, a predicted model, not a curated record